RNAcentral lists this ribosomal RNA (1005 nucleotides) under Escherichia coli. Its description in RNAcentral is "partial 23S ribosomal RNA". It matches the Rfam family "Bacterial large subunit ribosomal RNA", at positions 1926 to 2925 of the family's 2925-position model. The record is from RNAcentral. Lineage: Bacteria; Pseudomonadati; Pseudomonadota; Gammaproteobacteria; Enterobacterales; Enterobacteriaceae.
AACGGCGGCCGUAACUAUAACGGUCCUAAGGUAGCGAAAUUCCUUGUCGGGUAAGUUCCGACCUGCACGAAUGGCGUAAUGAUGGCCAGGCUGUCUCCACCCGAGACUCAGUGAAAUUGAACUCGCUGUGAAGAUGCAGUGUACCCGCGGCAAGACGGAAAGACCCCGUGAACCUUUACUAUAGCUUGACACUGAACAUUGAGCCUUGAUGUGUAGGAUAGGUGGGAGGCUUUGAAGUGUGGACGCCAGUCUGCAUGGAGCCGACCUUGAAAUACCACCCUUUAAUGUUUGAUGUUCUAACGUGGGCCCGUAAUCCGGGUUGCGGACAGUGUCUGGUGGGUAGUUUGACUGGGGCGGUCUCCUCCUAAAGAGUAACGGAGGAGCACGAAGGUUGGCUAAUCCUGGUCGGACAUCAGGAGGUUAGUGCAAUGGCAUAAGCCAGCUUGACUGCGAGCGUGACGGCGCGAGCAGGUGCGAAAGCAGGUCAUAGUGAUCCGGUGGUUCUGAAUGGAAGGGCCAUCGCUCAACGGAUAAAAGGUACUCCGGGGAUAACAGGCUGAUACCGCCCAAGAGUUCAUAUCGACGGCGGUGUUUGGCACCUCGAUGUCGGCUCAUCACAUCCUGGGGCUGAAGUAGGUCCCAAGGGUAUGGCUGUUCGCCAUUUAAAGUGGUACGCGAGCUGGGUUUAGAACGUCGUGAGACAGUUCGGUCCCUAUCUGCCGUGGGCGCUGGAGAACUGAGGGGGGCUGCUCCUAGUACGAGAGGACCGGAGUGGACGCAUCACUGGUGUUCGGGUUGUCAUGCCAAUGGCACUGCCCGGUAGCUAAAUGCGGAAGAGAUAAGUGCUGAAAGCAUCUAAGCACGAAACUUGCCCCGAGAUGAGUUCUCCCUGACUCCUUGAGAGUCCUGAAGGAACGUUGAAGACGACGACGUUGAUAGGCCGGGUGUGUAAGCGCAGCGAUGCGUUGAGCUAACCGGUACUAAUGAACCGUGAGGCUUAACCUU